Molecule: ribosomal RNA, 316 nt
Filed under: Erysipelotrichaceae bacterium
Lineage: Bacteria; Bacillati; Bacillota; Erysipelotrichia; Erysipelotrichales; Erysipelotrichaceae
Description: bacterial SSU rRNA
Rfam family: Bacterial small subunit ribosomal RNA
Source: RNAcentral
AACUUUUGAGAGUUUGAUCCUGGCUCAGGAUGAACGCUGGCGGCGUGCCUAAUACAUGCAAGUCGAACGAAGGUAGUAAUACCUUAGUGGCGAACGGGUGAGUAACACGUAGGUAACCUGCCUUUCAGUUGGGGAUAACCGAGGGAAACUUUGGCUAAUACCGAAUUCGUGCUUCGAAGGCAUCUUCGGAGCAUAAAAGGGGCCUUUAAAGCCUCGCUGAUUGAUGGACCUGCGGCGCAUUAGUUAGUUGGUGAGAUAACAGCCCACCAAGACGAGGAUGCGUAGCCGACCUGAGAGGGUGAACGGCCACACUGGA